RNAcentral lists this unclassified non-coding RNA (330 nucleotides) under soil metagenome. RNAcentral's name for it is "partial contains 5.8S ribosomal RNA, internal transcribed spacer 2, and large subunit ribosomal RNA". The stretch from base 1 to 121 matches the Rfam family "5.8S ribosomal RNA", at positions 35 to 154 of the family's 154-position model. The record is from RNAcentral.
GAUGAAGAACGCAGCGAAAUGCGAUAAGUAAUGCGAAUUGCAGAAUUCCAGUGAGUCAUCGAAUCUUUGAACGCACAUUGCGCCCAUUGGUAUUCCGAUGGGCAUGCCUGUUCGAGCGUCAUUUCACCACUCAAGCCUGGCUUGGUGUUGGGCGACGUCCCCUUUGGGGACGCGCCUCGAAACGCUCGGCGGCGUGGCACCGGCUUUAAGCGUAGCAGAAUCUUUCGCUUUGGAAGUCGGGGCCCCGUCUGCCGGAAGACCUACUCGCAAGGUUGACCUCGGAUCAGGCAGGGAUACCCGCUGAACUUAAGCAUAUCAAUAAGCGGAGGA